Molecule: long non-coding RNA, 1525 nt
Organism: Balaenoptera ricei (Rice's whale)
Lineage: Eukaryota; Metazoa; Chordata; Mammalia; Artiodactyla; Balaenopteridae
Exons: 3
Source: RefSeq, a predicted model, not a curated record
CAUGCAGAAACGAAGGGGUGAACCUGGAGUAGAUAGAAAAGAAGGCUGCAGGCUGAGACCCGGUGUCCAAUCGGCCUCGAAUGUGCCGGGAAGAUGGAGCGGUUACAAUGGGGAUGGACCCAGCGGCGCCCUGAGUGCCUCCGCUGGGACCCGUGGUUGAUGCCCGACGCGGUGUAAGGGGACCCUCAGUGUUGUCACAGCGCUCAGUGGAUUAUUCCAGAACGGACGCCCCCUCCCGAAUGGUUUCUUCCCGACUCGAAGGUCUUCCCUCUGCCCCUCAGUGUCUCAUCGCCAGACCCUGAAGAUCUUGAAGGGAGCAAAGGUCUAAGCAUCCUGUUCACUGCAGCAGAGCGUCUGCCCCAAGAAUGAUGUGAGGAGCCCAUAAACAAGCUUUACUUCUCCUGCACCACCGAUGGACAGCAUCGUGGCAGCAUGUAUCAAAGUGAAAAAUCCUUACAAUGCUAGGUUUGGAUUAUCCUCCCACUUUAAGUAACUAAAAAUUUGCACGUGACGGUCUUCAGAUGCACUACAACAGGCAUGCAGGAUGCUGAUACCUGAGAGAAGGGGGAAAAUGAGGUGAGCACUACAGUUUCCCCCAGCUUACUUCCUGGAGAGGAUUUCCAGGCAUCAGUGCAGGGAGCGGGAACCCAGACAGAGGCCAGCGUGUGGGUACGAUAGAGAAGAUGGGGCUGGCGAGACCCCAGACCCUCACCCUGUCUGAGGGGGCAUCCACAAUGCUGCUAUCGCCUACUAUCUUUGUGCAGGAAUGAGACCCCUGCAUGGGCAGGGGUUGUGAUUUUCCCAGAGAAGCUGGAGGUCUGGGUUCUUGUCAUAUUCUGCUUUUUUUUUUUUUAAAUGAUAGAAAUUAAAGUGAAAAAAAUUGUGGUUCAAUCUAUCUCUGUGUAAGUCAUGUAGAACAAUAUGUCUGGGAGCAGGAUUGAGUCUGAGCGCUCCUUUUUGGAGCCCUUUCAGAAGACAGCAGGAGCUCAGGAAAUGGUUUGUGAAGUAAUGAAUGAGUGAAUGAAUGAACGAACAAAUUCAGGAGUUAACAUUAACAUCCAGAAGGGUCCUUGUUCUCAGCCAGUGAUGUUCCCUCUGAUUCCCAUACAGUCCUCUUUCUCCUCCGUUCCUAGGGUCUUCAGUCGACACUCCAAUCCCCCGCAUCGGUAGGCAUCAUCACUGCCCUUCAACCCCUUCGUCCACUCGGUGUAUCUUCCCAGUACUCACUGCCCACAGCAGCCCACUCUGAUUCCUUCUUCCACUUUUCAGCCCCAGCAGAGCCCCAUCUGGAAUAGAUGUCUCCACGGCCUAGCCUGAACACUGGCACUGGUUCUGGCAUUGGGUUCUGACAUUUCCCUGAGUGUUGAUCUCAGCUUGUCCUCUUCAUAUCAGCUGUGUGACUGGUUCAUUCCCUUUCUCUCCCUGUUCCUCCGUCUUCUCCACUGUGAAAUAGUAUCAAUCCUCACAAGCUUUCACGAAGUGUAAAUGAGAUCAUCCCAAUAAGAGUUUUCGCAGGGCCUGGCAC